This 804-nucleotide long non-coding RNA is filed under the name Gallus gallus (chicken). Lineage: Eukaryota; Metazoa; Chordata; Aves; Galliformes; Phasianidae. The record is from RNAcentral.
CAAAAAAAUUAUGUCACCCUUUUCUACAGCUCAUCAUGCUUGUAUGUGAAUUCCCUUGCAGAUAUAAACCCAUCACUGUCUUCAUCUUCUUUAUCAAAUAUGUCCUCAACCAAAGCAUCAUGCUGGGUGUCAUUUACCACUGCUCCAUGCUUCUCAAAUUCUUUCUUCAAGUAAAUUUUCACCUCUUGCUUGGACAGCUUCCAGUCGUCAUUAAGAUCCAUCUCUUGAAAUGACUCAUGAGACCUGGGUCCAUUCCUAAUUUCUAGAAGGUCAAUAUUGAAUAUCAAUGUGCUCUCAGGUGGAAUUUUUCCUUUCCCUUCUUUUCCAUAAGCAAGGGCUGGUGGAAUCGUUAGCUUCCGCUUCUCUCCCACACACAUGUCCUUCAAACCUUUGUCCCAGCCUUUGAUGGCUUCUCUUAUGCCAAGUGUAAACCACAUAGGUUGGCCAUUGUUAUGUUUGUGCGUGGAGUGGAACAUGGAGCCGUCGCUCUGCAGGAAGCCCUCGUAGUGCACCAGCAUCAUGUCCCCCCACUUGGUCCUCCGGUGGCACAGGAACGGCUUCUGCAGCACCUCCACCUUCACGUCGGCCGCGGGGAUGAGGGCCGCGGCCGCGCAGCCCAGCAGGGCGCCCAGCAGGACGGCCCUCAGCACCGCCAUCCCGCCCCGCCGCCGGACCCAGCGCCCACCUCAGCGCCGCGGGGCCACCAUGGCCCGCCAGCUGCCGGCAGCACGGCGGCCGCCCGGCCCGGCCAACCCGCAGACGUGGCAGAGGCUCUCCCGGCUGGCAGACCCCGACUUCGUGCCG